AUUGAACGCCGGCGGCAUGCUUAACACAUGCAAGUCGAACGGAAACGAUGGAGCUUGCUCCAGGCGUCGAGUGGCGGACGGGUGAGUAACGCAUGGGAAUCUGCCUUUUGCUGGGGGAUAACGUAGGGAAACUUACGCUAAUACCGCAUAAGACCUAAGGAUGAAAGCGGGGGACCGAAAGGCCUCGCGGCAAGAGAUGAGCCCAUGUUGGAUUAGCUAGUUGGUGGGGUAAAGGCCUACCAAGGCGACGAUCCAUAGCUGGUCUGAGAGGAUGAUCAGCCACACUGGGACUGAGACACGGCCCAGACUCCUACGGGAGGCAGCAGUGGGGAAUAUUGGACAAUGGGGGGAACCCUGAUCCAGCAAUGCCGCGUGUGUGAAGAAGGCCUUCGGGUUGUAAAGCACUUUCAGUAGGGAGGAAAGGUGCGUAGUUAAUACCUGCGCAAUUGACGUUACCUACAGAAGAAGCACCGGCUAACUCCGUG
RNAcentral lists this ribosomal RNA (485 nucleotides) under uncultured bacterium. RNAcentral's name for it is "partial 16S ribosomal RNA". It matches the Rfam family "Bacterial small subunit ribosomal RNA", at positions 30 to 507 of the family's 1533-position model. The record is from RNAcentral.